RNAcentral lists this small RNA (108 nucleotides) under Chryseobacterium nakagawai. RNAcentral describes it as "Flavo-1 RNA". Lineage: Bacteria; Pseudomonadati; Bacteroidota; Flavobacteriia; Flavobacteriales; Weeksellaceae. The record is from RNAcentral.
CCCUAGCCCCGAUAGAAACGGUUACCCCACAGUAUAGAGUGGAGCGCAGGAGGACCUGAGCAUGGUGGGCGAUGGCGCGAGGAGUAAGAGUGGAUAGCGGGAAAUAGC